Molecule: unclassified non-coding RNA, 349 nt
Filed under: soil metagenome
Description: partial contains 5.8S ribosomal RNA, internal transcribed spacer 2, and large subunit ribosomal RNA
Rfam family: 5.8S ribosomal RNA (bases 1-120)
Source: RNAcentral
GAUGAAGAACGCAGCGAAAUGCGAUAAGUAAUGUGAAUUGCAGAAUUCAGUGAAUCAUCGAAUCUUUGAACGCACAUUGCGCCCGCCAGUAUUCUGGCGGGCAUGCCUGUCCGAGCGUCAUUUCAACCCUCGGGACCCUUCGGGGAACCGGUGUUGGGGACCCGUCCGCCGACCCACGGCGGCCGGCCCCGAAAUACAGUGGCGGCCCUGCGGCGACCUCCUCUGCGUAGUAGCGAUACCUCGCAGCUGGAAAGCGGCAGCGGCCACGCCGUAAAACCCCCUCUUCUAUGGUUGACCUCGGAUCAGGUAGGAAUACCCGCUGAACUUAAGCAUAUCAAUAAGCGGAGGA